RNAcentral lists this ribosomal RNA (429 nucleotides) under Bacteroidota bacterium. RNAcentral describes it as "Bacteroidetes bacterium partial 16S ribosomal RNA". It matches the Rfam family "Bacterial small subunit ribosomal RNA", at positions 355 to 776 of the family's 1533-position model. The record is from RNAcentral. Lineage: Bacteria; Pseudomonadati; Bacteroidota.
UAGGGAAUCUUCGGCAAUGGGGGGAACCCUGACCGAGCAACGCCGCGUGAGUGAAGAAGGUUUUCGGAUCGUAAAGCUCUGUUUUUAAGGAAGAACGAGUGUGAGAAUGGAAAGUUCAUACUGUGACGGUACUUAACCAGAAAGGGACGGCUAACUACGUGCCAGCAGCCGCGGUAAUACGUAGGUCCCGAGCGUUGUCCGGAUUUAUUGGGCGUAAAGCGAGCGCAGGCGGUUAGAUAAGUCUGAAGUUAAAGGCAGUGGCUCAACCAUUGUAGGCUUUGGAAACUGUUUAACUUGAGUGCAGAAGGGGAGAGUGGAAUUCAAUGUGUAGCGGUGAAAUGCGUAGAUAUAUGGAGGAACACCGGUAGCGAAAGCGGCUCUCUGGUCUGUAACUGACGCUGAGGCUCGAAAGCGUGGGGAGCGAACAGG